GACGAACGCUGGCGGCGUGCCUAAUACAUGCAAGUCGAGCGGACCGAUGGGAGCUUGCUUCCUUAGGUCAGCGGCGGACGGGUGAGUAACACGUGGGUAACCUGCCUGUAAGACUGGGAUAACUCCGGGAAACCGGGGCUAAUACCGGAUGCUUGAUUGAACCGCAUGGUUCAAUCAUAAAAGGUGGCUUUUAGCUACCACUUACAGAUGGACCCGCGGCGCAUUAGCUAGUUGGUGAGGUAACGGCUCACCAAGGCGACGAUGCGUAGCCGACCUGAGAGGGUGAUCGGCCACACUGGGACUGAGACACGGCCCAGACUCCUACGGGAGGCAGCAGUAGGGAAUCUUCCGCAAUGGACGAAAGUCUGACGGAGCAACGCCGCGUGAGUGAUGAAGGUUUUCGGAUCGUAAAACUCUGUUGUUAGGGAAGAACAAGUACCGUUCGAAUAGGGCGGUACCUUGACGGUACCUAACCAGAAAGCCACGGCUAACUACGUGCCAGCAGCCGCGGUAAUACGUAGGUGGCAAGCGUUGUCCGGAAUUAUUGGGCGUAAGCGCGCGCAGGCGGUUUCUUAAGUCUGAUGUGAAAGCCCCCGGCUCAACCGGGGAGGGUCAUUGGAAACUGGGGAACUUGAGUGCAGAAGAGGAGAGUGGAAUUCCACGUGUAGCGGUGAAAUGCGUAGAGAUGUGGAGGAACACCAGUGGCGAAGGCGACUCUCUGG
RNAcentral lists this ribosomal RNA (722 nucleotides) under uncultured Bacilli bacterium. Its description in RNAcentral is "bacterial SSU rRNA". It matches the Rfam family "Bacterial small subunit ribosomal RNA", at positions 28 to 732 of the family's 1533-position model. The record is from RNAcentral. Lineage: Bacteria; Bacillati; Bacillota; Bacilli.